GUAAUUACAACAUUUUUGUGGUCGGCGAUGGGGAGGUGGGGAGACAGAAGCAGUCAAGAGGCCGAAAGUCCAUGUGCGUGGAAGGAAGAGCUGCUCCUGAUCUAACGCAGCAACUGCAUCGGGUGUGAUCGCCGCGGGUUUUGAGGGCCUUAAUUAUUCCCCCCUCCCCUCACGAUCCUUGUCAUGACCAUGCAGUUUUUCUCGGGUGCUCUCCGAAAAGUGUUGGAUCGCAGGACCAUCGUCCUCGGCCAACAUGGCUGGCUGGAGAACUAAAAGGUCAUAAAUGCAAGGAGUAGUUUUUCAUCAUGAUUCUUACUGCGAAUGGCCACUAAAAGAGGCACUCUCUAAAAAAAGGAGCGUUCUAUGACAAAAAAAAAAAAACGGGGGGGGGGAAGAGAAGUGAGAAAAGAGAGGAUGGGGAAGAGGAAAAAUGCUAUUUCACAGUAGGAAAAAAUUGGAGAAGACUUGAUGAGGUACCAGUUGAAGGAAAGAAUUGCGAAAGAGAGCAGAAUUAAAAUUGGAGCAGUGCUUAAAAAAACAGGACAAUUACAGAGCCAUAAAUUGCAACAGUCAGUAGCUUAUCAACUUCCAGGAGUCCCAGGGUGAGUGAUUUCACACACCCCCACCCCAUCAUUUGGUCUUCCAAAAACAGGUCUGAAGAGACCAAGCUGGUAUUCAGACUUCAAACAGAAAAU
This is a non-coding RNA of Notechis scutatus (mainland tiger snake), 695 nucleotides long. The record is from RefSeq and is a predicted model, not a curated record. Lineage: Eukaryota; Metazoa; Chordata; Lepidosauria; Squamata; Elapidae.